AUGGAGGCAACAACCAUCAGCAUUGGAAAGUCCGUGUUGAGCGGGGCGCUCAACUACACCCAGUCAGCUGUGGCCAAGGAGGUAGCUCUGCAGCUUGGUGUCCAGCGUGACCAGUCAUUCAUUUCGGACGAGCUCGAGAUGAUGCAAGGUUUCCUGAUGGCUUCACAUGACGAGCGGGAUGACAACAAGGUGGUGAAGAUCUGGGUGAAGCAAGUCCGCGAUGUGUCCUAUGAUGUCGAGGACUCCCUCCUGGAUUUUGCUGUCCGUCUCGAGAAGCAAUCUUGGUGGCGUCUCUCUCGCAUGGUGCUAGCCCGGCGUUAUGUGGCGAAGCAGAUGAAGGGCCUCAGAGUUAAGGUGGAGGAGGUCAGCCAGAGGAACCAACGGUACCACCUCAUCAAGGGCUCUAGCUCCAAGUUUACCUCAACUGUUGGGCAGCCUACCAUCUCCAGUGCGACGAUGUCUGCUACCGAUGAUGCAAGGCUGCGGCGGCAUAAAGCUAAAAUGGGUCUUGUCGAGCUGAUCAAUUGCAAGGAUGAUGCACUUCGAGUGAUGGGGCUGUGGGGCACAAGUAUUAGUAAUCUGGGGGAGAUAUCCAUCCUGAAAAGUGCCUAUGAAGAUCCCAUGAUACAUAAGAAUUUUGAUUGUUGUGCUUGGAUAACAUUGAUGUGUCCAUUCAAUCAGGCAGAUUUGAUUCAAACCAUUGUUAGCCAAAUCUAUGUUAAUUCCCUUCAAGACUCAGGAGAAGAAGGUAAAACAACUAUUGGGGCCCAAGUUCUUAAGAUGAUGGCGACGACGAAGGAAGAUGGUUUGGCUCAUGACUUCAAGAGAUAUUUGAAUGACAAGAGUUACUUAAUUGUACUCAACGACAUACACACCAUUGAAGAGUGGGAUUGCAUUAAAACAUGUUUCCCAAACAACAAAAAAGGAAGCCGAAUCAUAGUAUCCACUGAGCAAGUUGCAGUUGCAAGCUUAUCCGUAGGAGCAGAGGAUCAAACUCUAGUGCAUAGGAAGUUACUUGCUGAUAAGCCUCUUUAUGCUUUCUACAACAAGGUUUCUCACGAGGGAAGCAAUUCGGAGGAAAAAGGGUCCACCUCAUAUGUAACCCCUAGCGUUGUUAACAGCUCUGCACACAAGAACAUCCUCACUCGCACGGAGACAAUGUCUACUCUAGAGGAAUCUCGUCUCAUCGGGAGAGGGAAUGAAAAAGAGGAAAUCAUCAAACUAAUCUCAAAUAAAGAUGCCCAACAAUUUCAUGUGUUCUCCUUGUGGGGAAUGGGUGGUAUUGGAAAAACAACACUAGUGAAGGAUAUCUACCAAAUCCAAGAGAUUAGUAGCAUGUUUGAUAAGCGUGCUUGUGUCACAGUCAUGCGUCCUUUCAAUUCAGCAACACUCCUUGAGAGCUUAACUAUGCAAUUCAGAGAUAAUAAUGAGACAAAUACAGAUUUAUGGAGAUAUUUAGAAGGAACGAGAUAUUUGCUUGUCCUUGAUGAUCUGUGGUCCAUAGCAGAGUGGGAUGUUGUAAAACAAUGUUUGCCAGAAACGGCAGCAAGCUGUAUAAUAGUCACCACAAGGGAAGAGAGUAUUGCCAAGCAUUGCUCAAAGGAUGAUAUAAACAUAUACAAGCUGAACCAUCUGGGCCCUGAUGACGCAUGUGACCUCUUCACCAAAAAGGCGUUUAAGGAGACUUUAAGUUUGGAUGAGCGAUAUCCAGAGUUGGUUGAACCAGCAAAACUGAUAUUGAAAAAGUGCAGAGGGCUUCCCCUUGCACUAGUCACCAUAGGUGGCUUCUUGGCAAGCCAACCGAAAACUGCUUUUGAAUGGAGAAAAUUGAAUGAGCAUAUCAGUGCUGAGUUUGAGAUGAAUCCAGAACUUGAGACCAUAAAAACAAUCCUUAUGAAAAACUAUGAUGGUUUACCAUAUCACCUCAAGGCUUGUUUCUUGUAUCUGGCCAUCUUUCCUGAAGACCAGCAGAUCGCAAGGAGACGCUUAGUGUGUCGGUGGCUUGCAGAGGGUUACUCAAGUGAGGUGCGUGGCAAAUCUGUGGAGGAAGUAUUGGAUGGUUAUUUCAUGGAACUCAUAAGUAGGAGCAUGAUCCUGCCAUCUCAACAGUCAAUUUAUAGUAGGAAGGGAAUUGACUCCUGCCAUGUUCAUGAUCUCAUUCGUGAAAUUGCCAUCUCAAAGUCUAUGGGGGAAAAUCUUGUUUUCACAUUGGAGGAAGGGUGCAGCUUAAACAACCGAGGCACAAUGCGCCAUCUUGCUGUAAGCAGCAAUUGGAAGGGGGAUCAGUGUGAGUUUGAGAAUAUACUAGACUUGUCUCAUGUACGAUCAUUGACAGUGUUUGGAAAUUGCAAACCAUUUUUCAUGUCUGAUAAGUUGAGGUUGCUACGAGUGCUGGAUUUGGAAGGCAUUUGGGAUCUGUUUGAUCAUCAUCUUGAGCACAUUGGGAAGCUUUCACAUCUUAGAUAUCUUUCUUUAAGGAGACAUGCUGAAAUAUUUCACCUGCCAAAUUCGUUGGGGAACCUUAGACAACUCCAAACACUAGAUAUUUCUGGUACAAACAUAAUAAAGCUACCAAGGACCAUCAUCAAGCUUGUGAAGUUGCAACGCAUUCUUGCUAGUGGCAUAGGAAAGAUACAUACCGGUGAAGAUGCAUAUGAGCAGUCGCUAAUGAGUUUACCUUUACAUUCAGUACCGUGUUGUGUAGCGUGUUGUGCACCUAAUAGGCUGGGAGAGCAAUUUGGACUUUAUGAUGGUGCACAACUUAACCGGCAUGAUGUAUGCACCACGUUCUGUUGCAGCAUAUUACCUUAUUAUGCGGCAGGAGGACGAAAUCUAGGUGGUGUUGAAGUGCCCAGAGGAAUUCAGAAACUGAAUGCCCUGCACACACUUCGUACCAUGGACAUAUCAGCGGGGAAGAUUGUUCUACAAGAUAUAAAAAAGUGCACUCGGUUGCGCAAGUUAGGAUUGACAGGUAUCAACAAGAGAAAUAGUCAAGGAUUGUGUUCAACAAUUGGUAGUCUCAGCAGCCUGGAGUCAUUGUCACUGCAAUCACAUGGAGAGCCAGGUUUAUUAGGCUGCUUGGAUGGCUUGCCCUCACCUCCAGAAAACCUGCAAAGCCUCAAGUUGAUAGGCAACCUGGUUAAGUUGCCAGAGUGGAUCAAGGGCCUAAAAAAUCUAGUGAAGCUGAGGUUAUGGAGGUCGAUGAUAUCGGAGCACGAUGUGGCCAUACAAGUCCUUGGAAGUCUACCAAACCUGGCCACCCUAUGUCUAUUGAAACACUCGUUCGUUGGUGAAGAGGUCCGUUUCAGUUUCUGUCUGGAGGCAUUCCCGAGCCUGAAGGUGCUACAGCUGGAUGUGAUAGGGAACCUCAAGUCGGUGGGAUUUGAAGAAGGAGCAGCCCCUAAGCUUGAGUUGCUGCAGUAUUUUGGUUGGAGAAGUCCUAGUGUUGGGCUGUUCUCUGGGUUACCGCAUCUCCAAAGCCUCAAGGAAUUUAUGCUGCAUGAAACGGACUGGGUCACUGAGUUUGUCGAGGACUUGCGAGGCCAGCUCUCAGAGUUUGAAAACAAGCCCGUUCUCAAGAGUUGGAAGUACUAG
This 3594-nucleotide ribosomal RNA is filed under the name Triticum aestivum (bread wheat). RNAcentral's name for it is "partial small subunit ribosomal RNA". Lineage: Eukaryota; Viridiplantae; Streptophyta; Magnoliopsida; Poales; Poaceae. The record is from RNAcentral.